UACGUAGGGUGCAAGCGUUGUCCGGAAUUAUUGGGCGUAAAGAGCUCGUAGGCGGCUUGUCGCGUCGGAUGUGAAAGCCCGGGGCUUAACUCCGGGUCUGCAUUCGAUACGGGCAGGCUAGAGUUCGGUAGGGGAGAUCGGAAUUCCUGGUGUAGCGGUGAAAUGCGCAGAUAUCAGGAGGAACACCGGUGGCGAAGGCGGAUCUCUGGGCCGAUACUGACGCUGAGGAGCGAAAGCGUGGGGAGCGAACAGG
This 253-nucleotide ribosomal RNA is filed under the name uncultured bacterium. RNAcentral describes it as "partial 16S ribosomal RNA". It matches the Rfam family "Bacterial small subunit ribosomal RNA", at positions 524 to 776 of the family's 1533-position model. The record is from RNAcentral.